AUUGAACGCUGGCGGCAGGCCUAACACAUGCAAGUCGAACGGUAACAGGAAGCAGCUUGCUGCUUCGCUGACGAGUGGCGGACGGGUGAGUAAUGUCUGGGAAGCUGCCUGAUGGAGGGGGAUAACUACUGGAAACGGUAGCUAAUACCGCAUAAUGUCGCAAGACCAAAGAGGGGGACCUUCGGGCCUCUUGCCAUCGGAUGUGCCCAGAUGGGAUUAGCUUGUUGGUGGGGUAACGGCUCACCAAGGCGACGAUCCCUAGCUGGUCUGAGAGGAUGACCAGCCACACUGGGACUGAGACACGGUCCAGACUCCUACGGGAGGCAGCAGUGGGGAAUAUUGCACAAUGGGCGCAAGCCUGAUGCAGCCAUGCCGCGUGUAUGAAGAAGGCCUUCGGGUUGUAAAGUACUUUCAGCGGGGAGGAAGGGAGUAAAGUUAAUACCUUUGCUCAUUGACGUUACCCGCAGAAGAAGCACCGCUAACUCCGUG
RNAcentral lists this ribosomal RNA (489 nucleotides) under uncultured bacterium. RNAcentral describes it as "partial 16S ribosomal RNA". It matches the Rfam family "Bacterial small subunit ribosomal RNA", at positions 30 to 507 of the family's 1533-position model. The record is from RNAcentral.